GUGGAGGAGACGAAACUCAUCUGCCUCUGUCCCUCUGGGCGCACCUCAUGCCGGUGCACCUGUGGACCUGGGCCAUGCUCCUGGGCUUCCGAAGUUGGAGAAAGCUGCCAGGCUCAGUUCUGAAGACCAGAAUUCUAAAGUAAGUCCCACUGAAGCAAGGUGGGAGCAGGGUUGUUGCCUUCCGAGGCUCUGCGGGAGAAUCUGUCUCCUGGCCCUGGAGGCGGCCUGCACUUCUCAGCUUGUGCUGCGCGUCCUGAAUGACUGGAGUUUCCUGCUUCCGUCACUACACCUCCCACCCUCUCCAUCACCUUCUCUGCUCUUAUAAGGAUCCGGUUUUCAGAGAAAUGGAAUAAUCAUAUUGCUGAUCUACAUAAGCAAGUUGAAGAAUUGUCUGAAAGAAAAUAUGGUAUGUCUAAACUGGAAAAGUCCUGUAAUCCUGUGUUCAUGAGCAUUUACACAGUGGAGUUACUCUUCAUCAUGGGGGUACCGUGGACAGGCCCAGGGCUGCUGAAAUGAACUUAUGAAUUCAACAGGUGAAGAUUUACAACUUGAUUAAAUAGCUUCAGGAGGUAGACAGAACUGGAAGAACAGUAUUUGUCCUACUUUUGAGAUGCAAGAUUUAUCUGGCGUAAUGCAUUGAACAGAUUAUUAUUGAAGUCUACACCGGUCAACUGAACAAGCAUUCGUCAAAUGUCCAUGAUACGUAGGACAGAAGGUUUUCUUUUAGGGUGUGGAGCCAUGCAUAUUAUCUUUUAAUUAGAUUUAGUUGAUAUGUUUUUAAAGAAAUAGAAGUAUAAUUGAUUUUCUUGUUUUGGCUCUGGAGUGGGGACGAAACAGAAUGGAAUGACACUGUUUAGAUUUACUAAAAUGGAAGGCUAACCAGUGAGAUCAUAUCCCAUCUCCCUGGACCUUUGGCUUUUACAGGUUGAGCUAUAAGAACAAUUAGAAAAAUGGAUAUCAUUUAAACACAGUAUGUAGAAAAGAAUAAUUUCUACAUAUUGUGAAUAAUUGCACCUGCUAGCAGUUCUUUUUUUUUUUUUUUUUA
This is a non-coding RNA of Macaca mulatta (Rhesus monkey), 1045 nucleotides long. The record is from RefSeq and is a predicted model, not a curated record. NCBI's taxonomy places the organism in Eukaryota, Metazoa, Chordata, Mammalia, Primates, Cercopithecidae.